UAAUCUCAGCUGGUAAUUAUGAGUUGGGUUGUAUAUCAAGUUACUAGCCGAGAUUAUA
Molecule: microRNA precursor, 58 nt
Filed under: Nautilus pompilius
Lineage: Eukaryota; Metazoa; Mollusca; Cephalopoda; Nautilida; Nautilidae
Description: Npo-Mir-216-P2d_pre stem-loop
Source: RNAcentral